Molecule: long non-coding RNA, 550 nt
Filed under: Canis lupus familiaris (dog)
Lineage: Eukaryota; Metazoa; Chordata; Mammalia; Carnivora; Canidae
Description: lncRNA (ENSCAFG00000051803.1)
Source: RNAcentral
GCGGCGCAGGUGCAGGUGCAGGUGCAGGGACCUCGGGGCUCGGCCGCUUCCUGUGGCCCCGCGCACCCCCACCCCGCCGCAGUGCGCAGGUGCGAAGGUGCCCGCGGAGGUCCACGGGCUGGGGGCGGGGGGCUCCAGGCCUCGCCCUCGCCGCCGACCCGCAGGUGCCGGAGCGCAGCCGGGUCAGGCCCCAGGCGGGCCCUGCACCCCCCAGGAGGGCCCGGCUCAGCGGGCGGGGCUCCCCGAGAGGCCGCGGUUGCCUGCCGGGCUCCCGAGGGUCUUCCCCGCGGCGCAUCCCCUCCCGCGGCAGCUGAAAGGUGGACUGCUGUCUUCUGAGGACAUUGUGUAUGAUUUCUUUCCCCUCUUUUAAGUCUACAAAAAAAUAUACUUCAAGCAUAUUUUUGUAUAUCAAGUGAUAGUGUGCUAUCCUUGUGUUUUAGACGAGACCAAAAUAAUCAAAAUGGUAAAAAGAACUCAUCCAACAAAAUGAUCAUCCAAAAGUGUUAUAGGUCAACUUGCUGACACUAUGUUUUUCGAACAUUCUAGAAAA